UAUUAUUUGGGAGCGGAUCAAAUCGGCGGCUCGAGCGGCGGCGACGGCGGCGGCUCGAGCUUGCAGGGGCUGGGGGCAGAUCCGGAGGCAGGGGUCGCCGGUGACGACGAGGAAGGCGGAGCACGGGCGGAUCCAUGGCAUCCGCGGCUCCUGGGCACAAAGGAGACAGGGAGGCCAGGGAGAGAAGAAGGAAGAAAGGAGGGGUUGUGCGGCGACCUAGCGAGGAGCUCGCCGGAGCUGGGCGAAGGCGGACUGGCGCGGGAGACGGAGGGGUCCGGCGCGGCGGCGCGAAGUCCUUGCAGGUGGAGACAGGCGUCGAAGCAGAGGACGAGAGGAUCCCCUGAUCCAUCCCCUCCUACCCAUCCAGCCCUUCCUCGAUGGCCCGCGUGCGACGAGCCCCUACGCGGGGUAAGAAGGGGGAUCACGCGAGGUGGGGCACUCCAGCCCCCUCCUAGCCCUACCACGGUGAGGCCUCCUUUCCCUCUCUCCCUGCCUGAGCCAUAGGCUGGCGGCGCUGAGGUCGAUAUGCUCAUGCACACACUGUUGCUGUGACAUGAUGACAGCCACAACCCACUUUUUCUUCCAGUUCCUUGUUUUUGUGGUGGAUGCAUCCAUGAUUAUUUGUUUCAACUAUUGAUUUUCAGUUUAGUCAAUCAAACCCAUUCCGAUGCUGCUCUUUUACUUGUACAAAUAAACUAUUGUUCACUAAACUGAGCAGCUAGCUACUGGUGUCUCAAAGAUUAAGCACAGGUUGGUACUUAUGGUCAGGCCUGCCUCAAGUAGGGGAAGAAGAGGAGGCCUGAAAGAGAGAGGCCACAAGGAUUGGAUCACGGAUGUGUGUUGGCUAUGUCUCUCAUGGUGUGUGGAACCAGUUAUUGGUUAAUUUCAUCUUGUUUGUUGACAUUGAUGGUGUUGUCCAUUGGUUUAAAAGAAAUUUGUUGAAGCUAAAGAUGAAGAGGAACUCGUGGAAGAGGAAAAGAAAUGACAUGGUAGAAAUUCAUUCACACAUAUCAGGGUCAUAGUGAGAGGAUUGAUCUGCUUGAUUCGCUCCUGAUGGUCGGUGGAUUGUUUCUGGUAGGGCUAAGAGUUCUGUGAAGGUAAGAUUUUGAUCCAACCUAUUAAGCAGUACCACACAAAUUACAGGAGAAUCUAUUGUUUGGUCCAACCUAUAAAGUUGCCAUAUAUGCUCAGUUGCUCACAACAGUGCUAAUAUUAACAAGGUGAAUAAACUCACGCUCUAGCGGAAGAUAUCCUUUAUAUUUUUGGGGUCAGUGAUACCUGUACAAAAACAUAAGAUGUGUUCCUAGAUAACAUCUUUCCUCCAAAAUAAUUUAUAUAUCAUCUAGACUUGGUUAGUUGUAACUUUUGCUUUCUGUUCUUUCCACAAGCUUCUGUAGGUUCAAAUGACAAUUGUUAAAUUUUGGGACCUUAAGACUUUUUAGUUGAUUGCAUCCUAGACCGGGAGGUAUAAUAGCAUAUCCUAAUUGUCUAAUUGAUGAUUCAGAAAGCUCUGGCUCUACUCAUGUAUAUCAGUUUAUAUUCAGAUUGUGAAGUACUCCUUCUAUAAAGAAAUAUAAGAGAGUUUAGUUCUAUAAAACAUAUUUAUAUGCAGUUAUCCAACAAAUUUAUGUCCUAAAAUCUUACAACUUCUCUUAAGCUGUUUUUUUGCGGGAAUACUAUAUUUGAUCAUAACCUUGGCUUAAAUGCAAUUUAAUUUCAACCUCAAAUUUGGUGAUUUUUUAAUGGGCACAACUAUGUCGGUAGAGGACUAGAGGUUGACAGUUAUGAAUUUUGUGAUAAUCUUCGGUUAUACUGUUAUAUAUAGCACUUUCCAGGUUAUAUGGUUCACAUUCUCUGAGCCAAUUCACAAUGACCAUUCCAGAUUUGGGCCUUGCGUUUUUAAAUUAUUUUGUAACAUUUUGGUUGAUCUUUGAUGCUGCUCCUUAAUUUUUUACAUUGACUGGUGUAGAACUAAAUGAGUGUUGACAUUCAAGGGAAGCCCCAAGCUUUUAAACAGUAUAUGAAUGUUGUUAGUUCGGUCCUUCACAAAUAAGUUCCUUGAUGUGUGUCACCUCUCAUUGCGUAUAACAUCUGGUCUUUCUAUUUUUCAUUGAUUUUUCUUCUCCCGGUGCACUGAAUCUGCAAGGGCGUGUAGACGGCAGGAUGAGCAGCAGCAUGCCGGUGGUAAGACAGGGCGUGUAGACGGCAGGAUGAGCAGCAGCAUGCCGGUGGUAAGACAGGGCGUGUUGGCGUACGCGAAGCAGCCAUACAUGAAUCUUGGCGGCGGAUGCUUGCUGGCCAUAGUGGCAGCACCAAUUCAAGCUGGGAGGCGGGAAGCUGGAGUAGCAGGAACGAUUGGUCGUCCAUUAGGCAUGAACCCAACUCCACUGUACUCCCUUUUCUUUCCAUAACCAAUUCUUUGGAGCAGACAUGUGGGUACAUUCACAUAGCCUGAAGAUUGUUUGCUUUUUUUGGUUAGUUUAGAUUUAGAUUUCUCAGAUAUUCACUAUUUGAUCAAUCGAUCCAUGUAAAUCUUAUUGACAUGGUUUGUGGAAUGUACCUUUCAGCAUUUACCCUGAUUAGUUAAAUCCCUAGCUGGUGAUAAGAGGAAGAGGAUGAUCAGGAAAGCAUGGAGUUAAGUGAAUCAGUACAGGAAGAAAGGCUGUUCAGAAAAAAAUAGUAGAGGAAGAAAGGGAGGAGCAUCACUCAAGGUUGGGCUUGGUGGCCUCGACGCCUAUUACCUCCUCUAUGCCAAGCCUCACAUCACCUAGUUAUUAUGUUAUCUACUCCCUCCGUUCCGAAUUACUCGUCGCAGAAAUGGAUGUAUCUAGAACAUCUAGAUACAUCCAUUUCUGCGACGAGUAAUUUGGAACGGAGGGAGUACUUCCAUGGAUUUACUGGCGUAUAGAAAUAUGACUAUCUGAUGUACACGUAUGACUUAGCUGAGUUCCCUCUUUAUGUAACAAGGCUCUCUUUUAAAGUUGUUUCGCUGUCCUCGUU
This is a long non-coding RNA of Triticum dicoccoides, 3000 nucleotides long. RefSeq lists it as uncharacterized. The record is from RefSeq and is a predicted model, not a curated record. The transcript is spliced from 2 exons. NCBI's taxonomy places the organism in Eukaryota, Viridiplantae, Streptophyta, Magnoliopsida, Poales, Poaceae.